CAGCCGUAAACUAUGCGCGUUAGGUGUAUCGGUGACCACGAGUUACCGAGGUGCCGAAGGGGAACCGUGAAACGUGCCGCCUGGGAAGUACGGUCGCAAGGCUGAAACUUAAAGGAAUUGGCGGGGGAGCACCACAACAGGUGGAGCCUGCGGUUUAAUUGGACUCAACGCCGGACAACUCACCGGGAACGACAGCAAUAUGUAGGCCAGGCUGAAGACCUUGCCUGAAUCGCUGAGAGGGAGGUGCAUGGCGUAGUCGUGU
This 262-nucleotide ribosomal RNA is filed under the name uncultured archaeon. RNAcentral describes it as "partial 16S ribosomal RNA". It matches the Rfam family "Archaeal small subunit ribosomal RNA", at positions 748 to 1009 of the family's 1478-position model. The record is from RNAcentral.